CCUACGGGUGGCAGCAGUGGGGGAUAUUGCACAAUGGGGGGAACACUGAUGCAGCGACGCCGCGUGGGUGAAGACGCGCCUCGGCGCGUAAAGCUCUGUCAGCAGGGGAGAAAAUGACGGUACCUGAAGAAGAAGCCCCGGCGAACUACGUGCCAGCAGCCGCGGUAAUACGGAGGGGGCAAGCGUUAUCCGGAUUUACUGGGUGUAAAGGGGGCGCAGACGGCGAUGCAAGCCAGGCGUGAAAGGCCGGGGCCCAACCCCGGGACUGCUCUUUGAACUGGGUGGCUGGAGUGCAGGGGGGGCAGGCGGAAUUCGUGGGGUAGCGGUGAAAUGCGUAGAUAUCAGGAGGAACACCGAUGGCGAAGGCGGCCUGCUGGACUGCAACUGACGUUGAGGCCCGAAGGCGUGGGGAGCAAACAGGAUUAGAUACCCCUGUAGUC
RNAcentral lists this ribosomal RNA (440 nucleotides) under uncultured bacterium. RNAcentral's name for it is "partial 16S ribosomal RNA". It matches the Rfam family "Bacterial small subunit ribosomal RNA", at positions 338 to 795 of the family's 1533-position model. The record is from RNAcentral.